This is a long non-coding RNA of Brassica rapa (field mustard), 3551 nucleotides long. RefSeq lists it as uncharacterized. Lineage: Eukaryota; Viridiplantae; Streptophyta; Magnoliopsida; Brassicales; Brassicaceae. The record is from RefSeq and is a predicted model, not a curated record.
UAUGUGCAGGUCUAGAUUAGUCAUCGUUAGAGCCAUUUUCCAGAUGAAAGACAUGGGACAGAGACAUAAGAAAGGCAUUCAUAAUGACAUGUAUCCAACCUUUCUGCAAUGAUAUAAUACGUAUGAUCUGUGGUUCGAUAAGCUCCACCAGCAGGAGUAAUCUGGAAAUUCCGGAUGUAGCGCCAUGCUCCAACCGUCAGAAUCCUUCCCUUACUUUCAAUGUAAGUCUGUUUACAUGUAGCAUGAAUUUUUUGCCCCUAAAACAAAAACCGUAUGAAUUUGAAAUAUUAGUAGCCAAUCCCAAAAUGUUAAAUAAGACAUAAUCGCAAGAUCAAUACAGUAAGGAACGCUUACAGUCUCAUCAGCCAAGACGAAUUCCAUGGUCUCUACGGAUUGAAUGUAUUGUUUCCAAGCGUGUAGCACCUUUACAUGAACCAACCAAGUGUUUUUCCACGGUUUCAAGUCGCCGAAGACGACACAUUGAUCAUUAGGACCUUUCGUUUUUUGUAUUUGCAUCUUAGUAGCCAUUGUUAUGUUUUUUUCGUUUCUUCGAAGGUGCAUGUUUCAAUAGGAAAACGGGACUCCGUAUUUAUAAUACUGAUCGUAUUCACAGUGAUUUGUUAGGGUUUAGGAGAAACUUGGGGAGAAAGUUGAGGGAUUUUUUCUUUAAUGUCGCUAUAUUUGAAGAUUAGUUUUGGAAAUUUCUGUUACCAUGUUAAACGGUUUCAAUAUUUUCUGCGUGUUCCUUAAGUUGGGGGAUUACCUUUUUUUUAUUUAAUUUGUUGUGAUUAAAACCGUAAAUAAGAUAUAUGUCCCGACUUAAUGGGUCUAUAAAACGUAAAUGUAGUUAGAAUCGUCGUUGGGCCCUAUUUGUCAAUCGAUAACACCAGAAAUAACUGAAAUAUUUUGGGCUUUUUUUGUUAAUUAAACACUGCAAUUAAAUAACUGAAAAAAAGAAUGGAAUGUUUUGUAAUUAAUAGGAAAAUUCAGGGGCAGAUUCAUAAGAGGGAUUCUGCUUUAAUAGUAUAGAUUUCUCGGAAACAUAUCAAUUGUUGGUUAGAGACAAACAAAUAUGAUGUAGAAGCCUAGAGUUUUAAAUAUAUUCAAUUCUUAACGAAAACUAAAGGCAAAACACAUCUUACAAUUUCUUUGACAACAAACAAAUCUGACAAAUUUUUUAUUUAUUUUCAGUUAUUUGCAUCUAUAUUUCGUUAAUGGCCAUUUAGUUAUCAAAAGUAGCAUCUUUUAUCACUUGUGUCGUUUCAUAUAUAUAGGAAAAUAACAAUUUAAUUUUAGAACUUUUUUUCCAAGAUAUUUAGCGAACAUAAGUAGAUGACAUUUAUUAAUCUUGUCUCGCAUUCAAUUAAGUUUAAAUGGCUAUUUACUGGUUUACACUUCUGUAAACUAGAAGUUUCUUGAAACUAUUAUAGGUUGAAUUUCUUAGAUUAUAAGUAAAAUUAUUAGUUUAAACUUUUUUAAAAUAUCCUAAUAAGUAUUUUCUAUAAAUAUUAGUUUUAAAAAUUGUGUCUUCUCAUUAUAUAAAAUAAUUUUUUUAAAAAUAUUAAAAUAUCGCAAAAAGUAUCUCUUUGUAAUUAUGUGUCAUUUCAUCUUAAAAAGAGCAUUAUUUUAAAAGUGUCGUUAAAAUAUAUUAGUACAUUUUAUUUUAUUUUUAAAAUUGCAUGGGGUUAAGAGAAAUUGUCUAAGUGUAUAAUAAUAAGUUUCAUACAAAUUGCAUUUAUUAAAAAAAGUUUUCAAAAUGUCUAAAGAUGUAUUUUAUCCAAAUAAAUGUCAAAAAUUGUAACUUUUCAUUAUAUCAAAGUGUCUUUUUAUCUUAUUAAAAAAUGUCCUAAAAAAAUACAAGUAUGUAUCUUUUCAUCUUAAAAGUAUGUAUUUUCAUUUUUAAGAAUUGCAUUAGUUUAAAAGAAGUUGUUAAAAUGCAUAAGGAUGUGUCUUUUUAUCCUACAAAUUGCAUUUGUUAAACAAAUAAAUGUUAAAUGUUGUAAUUUUUCAUCCUAACAAAGUAUUAUUUUUCAUUUAAAUGGCAUUGCUUUAAAAAAAUGUUGUCAAAUAUACAAGUAAAAAUAUUAUCAUCUUAACAAUGUGUCUUUUCAUUGUACGAAUUGCAUUGGUUUUAAAGAAAUUGUUAAAACGUAUAAGGAUGUAUCUUUUAAUCCUAAAAAACUGUAUUUCUUAAUAAAAGUUGUCAAAACGUCUAAAAAUGUAUAUUUUCUCCAAAUAAAUGUCAAAGGUUGUAACUUUUCAUCCUAACAAAGUGUCUUUUCAUCUUAAAAAUGACACUACUUUAGAAAAUGUUGUCACAUAUAUAAGUAUGUAACUUUUCAUCUUAAUAAUAUGUCAUUUCAUUUUAAGAAUUGCAUUGGUUUAAAGUGAGUUCCUAAGACGUAUAAAAAUAUGUCUUUUCAUCCUAAAUUUUUCAUUUGUUAAAAAAAUUAUCAAAAUGUGUAAAAAUGAAUAUUUUCUCCAAAUAAAUAUCAAUGGUUAUAACUUUUGAUCUUAACAAUGUGUCUUUUCAUAUUAAAAAUUGCGUUCUUCAAACAAUAUUGUCAAAAUAUAUAAGUAUGGAUCCUUUCAUCUUUAAAAUGUUACUUUCAUUUUAGGAAUUAAAUUGGUUUAGAAGAAGUUGUUAAAAUGUAUAAGGAUGUGUUUUUCAUCCUAAAAUUUUUUAUUUGUUAAAAUAAGUUAUCAAAAUGUCUAAAGAUAUCACUGCAACUGUUGGUGACAAUAAUUUUAGUGAAGAACCAAUGCAAUCUUUGGUGAUAAAUCAUUGCAACUGUUAGUGAUUGUAGUAUUUGGUGAUAAUCCAUUGUAACUUCUGAUGUUAAUUAUUGCAACUAUUAUCUAACCAUUGCAAUGUUUGGUAUCAACCAUUGUAACCUUUAGUCAUCUAUAUAAGGUGUUGUGGGAAUUGAAAAAUCACAAAAAAUGACAACAAUCUAUAUAUUAGAAAAGAUAGAGAUUCACUGUUAAAUGAUUUUCAAAGAUUUUUGAACAAAUACAUAUGAACAUGCAGAGCUCUAUUUGUUAUUCUUAUAUCUUAGUCUAAGCUUGGAAACUUGAUUGAGAAACCGAUAGAGUUCUACAGUAUUUAUAUCUCAAUACAACCUUGACUUCAAAAAUAUUAUUUAUUGAUACAACAAAAGUCAUCAUGAUUUAAAUCCAUAAUUUAUCAAUUUAGUUGAUUUUAUCUAAUUAUUAUGUUAGUUUAAUAUAAUAAGUAUUGGUGUUUUAUAAGAACUCUUCCGGAAAUUAAAUGAAAUAGUAUAAAUUAGAAAGGUCAUAUCAACAUAAGUCAACAUAUAUUUAUUAUGAUAUCCAAUCUCCUUAAUAUUUUUUUUCUCAAAAAUAGAGCAGGUAAAUAAAUUUAUAAAAAUAAUAACUAUUUUUGCCAACAUAGAAAUAUAAAUUCUCUUAAAAUACUACAAACUAAUAAUUCUAAUAUUGUCUCUUAAAUAGGAAAAAAUAUUUAAAUAUCACGAAAAAUAAUUGAAAGUAGUUCAAGAAGUUGUUGGAGCUAAAUAUCAUGUAAAAUU